UCUGCUUCAUCAUGCAGCACUGAAGUCGCUCGUUGUUUCUUUAAGGGAAUCUGGGCUCAUCCAUUUAUUGAGCAAAAAAUUAAAGAAAUUAAAUCUUACAUUUAAAAAAACAUGAAAGGUUUGUUUGAAAACCUCAUAUCUCCCGUUUUCUUUUUGUCAUGUUUCCAGAUCCAACGUUGUCUAAAGUCCAGACAGCAGCAGCCCAGAUGUUACUGACUGACCCCCGCACGCGCUCACUCAACCGUCUGAUUGGUUGGAGCUUGUCGGAGGCUGAGCGGGACGUUCUGUCGCCCCGGGCAACGUAGAAAAAAGGACAAAUCCCAGAGCUAUGGAGGCCAGGUCAUGGUUUUUCUAACAACUUUUGCGUUAACUUGCAAUAAUUUCACCUUGUGAUACAAACAUUCAUUAUUAUUCCUCAGGAAACAUCGGUUCAUGUUUUAUAAGUUGGGACAAAAACGAGGUCUGUUUCCCUCAGCUUGGGUCGCAGCAACACUUUCCAGCUGCUCCUGGCAGAUCCUGAGGCGUUCCCGGGACAGAGGUUUGGGUGUACCCUGGGGUCGCGCCCCGGUAACCUCCAGUGAAAGGCGCUCAGGAGGCGUCCUGACCAAAUGAAGAGCUCAUGUUGGUUCGGCGCCGUGAAAUCCGACUCUUCCUCGAGGACUGUGGGAACGUUUAGGACCAUCAGACUGACACUCAUGUGUUUAAAGAGCCGGUUCGAGUAGAAGUGAGGAGGAAAUAAAGGCGGGCUCUACAAACUGCAAACACCUGUCAACGUGUCAGAAACCAUCAACCUGAGAACUUGUCCGUCUUCAACAGGAAGUCUCUGUCGACGCAUCUGAGACCUCCCAACAGAAACAUCUGGAGCCGGCGUGGAGCUCCGACGAGGAAGAGGGAGAAAAGACGAAGACGUCAGACGGAGAAACGCUGAAACCAGAUCUGCCCGGAGGUGGACGUCUGGAGGAGGAGAGGGUGAGGAAAUGUAGAUGCAUAUCGCUGCUGUCGGGGUGAAGGCCACAGAAGUGAAAUCAUGCUGAACUUUUUCCCUCCUUCAGUCUGGAGUUGAGUUGGAGUCCUGAUACUUGGGAGACGUGUCCUGAAAGAGAUGCCAUCUCUUCUUUAGUCCCGGAGAGAUAAUAGACACAUCACGCAGUCGUCAGCGGACACAUUAAACACAGGAGAACAGAUGAGGGGCGUUUGAUUCGUCUCAUCUCACUAAUGAUGUGUUUAGAUUGAGGCUGCACAGUCACUCGCAGCAGGUUUAAAAAAACUACCAGCUGCUGUUUAGAGAAGCAGCUGGAGAAGAUCAGGAACCUGAUCCUGCAGGGACAGACAGGGAGGACUGUUUAUGUAUGAGAGACUUUACAUUAGGAAGAAAUCCUCAGAGAGCUGCGGCUGCAACAAACCCCAGAUCACAUACUGUAAAUUCCUUAUAACAUAUCUGGACUGUGGGUGGCAGGACUCCAAACACAUGUCCAAGUCCACGUCUUUCCUGCUGAGUCCCACACAUGUCCGCCAGCUCUCACGUUUAUUUUUGGGGGCUCUACUGGAUUUGGAGGCUCUGUGGCGUCGAUGCAACAAGUUCCCUUAAAGGUCUGUGUCCAUGUGUAGUGUGAUUAUAGAUCAGCUCUAGCUUCUAUAUUAAUACUGUGAAAGUAUCAAAGCCUCAGUCCACAGAGAAAUGCACACAGCCUGUAUUCAGAAACUGAGCCUUAAAACCAGCCGUCAGGACUUCUGGAACUUUGUGAUGUCACAACAAAGCAGUCACCAAGCCCCGCCCACCUGGACCCACCAUCCAAACCUUGCAGGAUUUGGUUUCUCUGAGUGUUUUUACCUGAAAUCUGCUUUAUUUUUAUUGGAUCACUCAGAAAACAGUCAGCCAAUCAGAAGAGAGGCUCAGAGCCUCCUCUCUUCUGAUUGGCUGACCGACCUGUUGUUACUAGAGCUGCAGAGAGAAGCCUGAGAGAGGAGAUGUAAAACUACACUGAGAUGGUUUUUGGUUCUUAAAUACACAAAUAUAUCUUCUUUAAUCAAAAAGAAACUAUUCUGAUAAUCAAUUAUCAUCAUUUAUGACGAGCAAAAACAGCUUCUCCAGGAGGAUUUGCUGUUUUCCUUUGUUUUAUAUUAUUUUCUUUUGUAUUGCUGGUUUGAAUUUGACAAAACAACAUUUGAAGACGUUAGUUUGGCUUCUGGAAACUCGGCAGAUUAAUUGAUAGUGGACUCCUGAUCAGCAGAGGACAGUAAAGCAACAGAAGGACGGUCAGAUGUCUGCCUUCUCUGGAGGUGUUGACAUGUGACCACAGCUGCUCUUCAUACUGAAGGUGAGAGGAAACACACGGGUCACCGGGUCCAUGCACAGCUGCAGGUGGUGUGUUCAAGUGUUGUUGAGGGAAACCGGAGAUUGUGCCUCGUUGCUCGUCCUCUUUUCCGAACAGCUUUUUGAAGAUUGUGUCACUUGUUUGUUCUGAAAAUCUUGAUAAAGUAACAAAGUGUUGGAGUAAGAAAAUGCUAAAAACAGAGCUGCUAACUUCUACCAGCAUCUGGAAGGAAGUAGUGUCGUAUAUCAAUGAGGAAAUGUGCAGUAUCACAGAUCGGCCCUGUAGGAAGAAACACAGCAAAACCCCAAACGUCAUUACAGAUUUUAUUAUUCUGAACUGUACAUAUGAAAACAAACUUCACCUAUACUUAGUCUGUUUACAGAAGCCCGGCCCUGCAGAGGCCGUUUGGUCUCUACACAUCUACUGUGUGUUAAAAUGAAGCCGUCCAGCUGCUGAUGUAAACACAAAAAUAAAUUAAGAAGAUAUUA
Molecule: long non-coding RNA, 2803 nt
Organism: Seriola aureovittata
Lineage: Eukaryota; Metazoa; Chordata; Actinopteri; Carangiformes; Carangidae
Exons: 3
Source: RefSeq, a predicted model, not a curated record